This 516-nucleotide ribosomal RNA is filed under the name uncultured bacterium. RNAcentral's name for it is "bacterial SSU rRNA". It matches the Rfam family "Bacterial small subunit ribosomal RNA", at positions 32 to 523 of the family's 1533-position model. The record is from RNAcentral.
AAUCAACGCUGGCGGCGUGCCUAACACAUGCAAGUCGAACGCGAAAGUGGAGCAAUCCAUGAGUAGAGUGGCAAACGGGUGAGUAACACGUGGGUGACCUGCCUUAGAGUGGGGGAUAACGUCCCGAAAGGGACGCUAAUACCGCAUAACAUGCUGCCUUUUAAGAGGUGGACAUCAAAGCCGGGGACCGCAAGGCCUGGCGCUUAAAGAGGGGCCCGCGCCUGAUUAGCUAGUUGGUGGGGUAAUGGCUCACCAAGGCAACGAUCAGUAUCCGGCCUGAGAGGGCGGACGGACACACUGGGACUGAGACACGGCCCAGACUCCUACGGGAGGCAGCAGUGGGGAAUUGUUCGCAAUGGGCGCAAGCCUGACGACGCAACGCCGCGUGGAGGAUGAAGAUCUUCGGGUUGUAAACUCCUUUCGAUCGAGACGAAUGGCCCUUGGGCUAACAUCCUGAGGGAGUGACGGUACCGAGAGAAGAAGCCCCGGCUAACUCCGUGCCAGCAGCCGCGGUAA